Molecule: ribosomal RNA, 233 nt
Filed under: Staphylococcus aureus
Lineage: Bacteria; Bacillati; Bacillota; Bacilli; Caryophanales; Staphylococcaceae
Description: partial 23S ribosomal RNA
Rfam family: Bacterial large subunit ribosomal RNA
Source: RNAcentral
UCCCAAGGGUUGGGCUGUUCGCCCAUUAAAGCGGUACGCGAGCUGGGUUCAGAACGUCGUGAGACAGUUCGGUCACUAUCCGUCGUGGGAGUAGGAAAUUUGAGAGGAGCUGUCCUUAGUACGAGAGGACCGGGAUGGACAUACCUCUGGUGUACCAUUUGUCGUGCCAACGGCAUAGCUUGGUAGCUAUGUGUGGAAGGUAUAAGUGCUGAAAGCAUCUAAUCAUGAAGCCC